AUGUGGGAGGAAUGCUUGCCUCAUAUUGAAUUUGCUUAUAAUCGUUCAUUGCAUUCUACUACUAAGAUGUGCCCUUUUGAAGUUGUGUAUGGUUUCCUACCUCGUGCACCUAUUGAUUUGUUGCCUCUUCCAUCUUCGGAGAAGGUUAAUUUUGAUGCUAAACAACGUGCUGAAUUGAUUUUAAAAAUGCAUGAGUUAACUAAGGAAAACAUUGAGCGCAUGAAUGCUAAAUAUAAACUUGCUGGAGAUAAGGGUAGAAAACAUGUUGUGUUUGCACCUGGAGAUCUUGUUUGGUUACAUUUGCGUAAGGAUAGAUUUCCUGAUUUGCGCAAAUCAAAGUUAAUGCCACGUGCUGAUGGUCCCUUUAAGGUGUUAGAGAAAAUAAAUGAUAAUGCAUAUAAACUUGAGCUGCCUGCAAAUUUUGGGGUUAGUCCCACUUUUAACAUUGCAGAUUUGAAGCCUUAUUUGGGUGAGGAAGAUGAACUUCCGUCGAGGACGACUUCAUUUCAAGAAGGGGAGGAUGAUGAGGACAUCAAUACAAUUGUUACACCCACAGCCCCUGCUGCUAUACAUACUGGACCAAUUACUAGAGCUCGUGCACGCCAACUAAAUUACCAGGAAACAGACCCUCGUGGUCAGGUUGAUCGUGCUCCGGCGUGGUCAAUAACCUCUCGGAGUUGGUUUAGCGAUUGCUAA
RNAcentral lists this ribosomal RNA (696 nucleotides) under Triticum aestivum (bread wheat). RNAcentral describes it as "partial small subunit ribosomal RNA". Lineage: Eukaryota; Viridiplantae; Streptophyta; Magnoliopsida; Poales; Poaceae. The record is from RNAcentral.